GCCCCCGUAGCUCAGCUGGAUAGAGCAACCGCCUCCUAAGCGGUAGGUCACACGUUCGAAUCGUGUCGGGGGCGCCA
Molecule: transfer RNA, 77 nt
Filed under: Desulfuromonadales bacterium
Lineage: Bacteria; Pseudomonadati; Thermodesulfobacteriota; Desulfuromonadia; Desulfuromonadales
Description: tRNA-Arg
Rfam family: tRNA
About the family: Transfer RNA (tRNA) molecules are approximately 80 nucleotides in length. Their secondary structure includes four short double-helical elements and three loops (D, anti-codon, and T loops).
Source: RNAcentral